Molecule: non-coding RNA, 131 nt
Organism: Pteropus alecto (black flying fox)
Lineage: Eukaryota; Metazoa; Chordata; Mammalia; Chiroptera; Pteropodidae
Source: Rfam
UUUGCACUGAGUAAACAAGGCAGCGGUGAGUUCCCGCAGCUAACUCGAAAGUGUGUGCAGACUCAGGACAAGCUAAGCGCAAUUCCCUCCUCUUGGGGUCGCUAGUCCUGGAGGCGCUAGAGAUGGUAAGG